AGAUGUACUCAUCAAAUGAAAAACUCAAUCAAACUGGUUUGAAGUGGGCUCAGAGGUUUGCAGUGGAUGUGACUCUAGAUCUUGAUACAGCGCAUCCAUAUCUCAUCCUGUCUGAUGAUGGAAAACAAGUCAGUCAUGGAGAUAUCGUGCAGGACGCCCCCGAAAACCCAAAGAGAUUUGAUUAUGUUGUUUGUGUUCUGGCAAAGCAGGGAUUCAGUUCAGGCAGAUUUUACUAUGAGGUGCAGGUGAAGGGAAAGACUGAUUGGGAUUUUGGAGUGGCCAGAGAAUCCAUUAACAGGAAGGAGAUAAACACACUGACUCCAGAGAAUGGAUUCUGGGCUGUGGCUCUGAGGAAUGAGAAUCAGUAUAUAGCUUGUGAAAGUCCACCUGUCUCUUUAUCUCUGAGAGUGAAACCUGAGAUUGUGGGAGUGUUUGUGGAUUAUGAGGAGGGUCUGGUCUCUUUUUAUGAUGCGCGGCACAGAUCUCAUAUCUACUCUUUCACUGGUCAGACUUUCACUGAGAAACUCUAUCCAUAUUUUAGUCCAUACCUUAAUGAAGGAGGUAAAAACUCAAAACCACUGAUCAUUUCACCUGUCCGUUAAAAUGAACAAAUCUCCCAAAAUCUGAAACAUAAAAUUAUUAAUUAGAUAAAUUAUUAAUUAGAAUUAAUAAAAAAGGAGAAAAAAAGAAAGAAAUCCGCACACUGAUUGCUUAAAUUCUUUUAAAUGAUGAUUUAUGAUCAAAUAGACUACACUGGAAAAAAUAUCCACCUUAUUCUUCAACCCGAAAGGCAAAGGUACAAAGUAUGCAAAAAGAAGAUCAUAUUAGCAUUAUCAUUCAUCUCAAUGGCGUCACAAUAAUUCAAUGACACUACAAGAUCAGCUUCAAGUUGCUAUGAUGUUAAAGACAAAUAUGUAUUCGUUUCACGCUUUCAACCCAAUUCAACACCUCAGGGACUGUAAUAAUUUAAAAAUGCAAGCUCUUCUGAAGAUCUAGUGUUUUUUUUUUUUUUAUUGCACCUUAUAACAGUUCAGUGGCAUAUUAAAAGUGAUAAUUAGCUAAUAUUUUUGAGCUAUAGGAUUUUUUUUUUUUUUGUACAGCUUUGUCAUAAUUAUUCAACCUUUAUUCAGCUUUGCUCUCACAUGUAUGGUAAAAAUUGUGUUAAAACAAUUAAGCCUUUAGAAUCUUUAUAAAGGGCUUCUCAAAUACCCGAUCAAAUACCUUUUUCAAGACCUGACCAACACAAAUAAAAUUAAUACCACAUGUCGUUACUGAACAAACCCAAACAAUCUCAAAAUAAAUUAGCCAGCUCCAAUGCUUUUACUUAAUGAAACAGGCUGCAGCACACAUUCAUCUGCAAAACAGGGAAAUGCAAGCGUUUAAUUCAAUAUUUACAUAUGUAUUGGAAUUGGUUUAUGUUCUCAUAUAUCAAUACACACAAAGUAAAGGUCCAUCGAUACUGGAUUUUGCUGAUACGAUAAUGCAUUUUUUAAGAA
Molecule: long non-coding RNA, 1496 nt
Organism: Sinocyclocheilus rhinocerous
Lineage: Eukaryota; Metazoa; Chordata; Actinopteri; Cypriniformes; Cyprinidae
Exons: 3
Source: RefSeq, a predicted model, not a curated record